This 1030-nucleotide ribosomal RNA is filed under the name rhizosphere soil bacterium RSC-II-80. RNAcentral's name for it is "bacterial SSU rRNA". It matches the Rfam family "Bacterial small subunit ribosomal RNA", at positions 9 to 1050 of the family's 1533-position model. The record is from RNAcentral.
GAGUUUGAUCAUGGCUCAGAAUCAACGCUGGCGGCGUGCCUCAGACAUGCAAGUCGAACGAUUAAAGCUCUCUUCGGAGAGUGCAUAGAGUGGCGCACGGGUGAGUAACACGUAAAUAAUCUACCCUCGAGUGGGGAAUAACAUCGGGAAACCGAUGCUAAUACCGCAUAAUGCAGCGGCACCGCAAGGUGACAGUUGUUAAAGAUUUAUUGCUUGAGGAGGAGUUUGCGGCAGAUUAGCUAGUUGGUAAGGUAAUGGCUUACCAAGGCUACGAUCUGUAUCCGGUCUAAGAGGACGGUCGGACACACUGACACUGAAUAACGGGUCAGACUCCUACGGGAGGCAGCAGUCGGGAAUUUUGGGCAAUGGGGGAAACCCUGACCCAGCAACGCCGCGUGAAGGAUGAAGUUUUUCGGAAUGUAAACUUCGAAAGAAUAGGAAGAAUUAAUGACGGUACUAUUUAUAAGGUCCGGCUAACUACGUGCCAGCAGCCGCGGUAAUACGUAGGGACCAAGCGUUGUUCGGAUUUACUGGGCGUAAAGGGCGCGUAGGCGGCGUGGUAAGUCAGUUGUGAAAUCUCCGAGCUUAACUCGGAACGGCCAACUGAUACUGCUGUGCUAGAGUGCAGAAGGGGCAAUCAGAAUUCUUGGUGUAGCGGUGAAAUGCGUAGAUAUCAAGAGGAAUACCUGAGGUGAAGACGGGUUGCUAGGCUGACACUGACGCUGAGGCGCGAAAGCCAGGGGAGCAAACGGGAUUAGAUACCCCGGUAGUCCUGGCCCUAAACGAUGAAUACUUGGUGUCUGGAGUUUUAAUGCUCCGGGUGCCGUCGCUAACGUUUUUAGUAUUCCGCCUGGGGAGUACGGUCGCAAGACUGAAACUCAAAGGAAUUGACGGGGACCCGCACAAGCGGUGGAGCAUGUGGUUUAAUUCGACGCAACGCGAAGAACCUUACCUGGACUAGAAUGUGAGGGAAGGGCGCUUAAUGGCGUCCGUCCGGGCAACCGGACCCAAAACAAGGUGCUGCAUGGCU